CAGCAGCCGCGGGAACACGGAGGGUGCAAGCGUUAUCCGGAUUUACUGGGUUUAAAGGGUGCGUAGGCGGACUUGUAAGUCCGAGGUGAAAUCUCUGAGCUUAACUCGGAAACUGCCUUGGAUACUAUAGGUCUUGAAUCUCGUUGAGGUUUGCGGAAUAUGUCAUGUAGCGGUGAAAUGCUUAGAUAUGACAUAGAACACCUAUUGCGAAGGCAGCAGGCUAAACGAGUAUUGACGCUGAUGCACGAAAGCGUGGGGAUCAAACAGGAUUAGAUACCCCCGUAGUCCCUGUCUCUUAUAC
This 301-nucleotide ribosomal RNA is filed under the name uncultured bacterium. RNAcentral describes it as "partial 16S ribosomal RNA". It matches the Rfam family "Bacterial small subunit ribosomal RNA", at positions 509 to 807 of the family's 1533-position model. The record is from RNAcentral.